GACGAACGCUGGCGGCGCGCUUAACACAUGCAAGUCGAACGGAAAGGCCUGCUUUCCCUUGUGGAUUGCGGGUACUCGAGUGGCGAACGGGUGAGUAACACGUGAGUGAUCUGCCCCCAACUUGGGUAUAAGCCUGGGAAACUGGGUCUAAUUCCCGAUAGGACUGCAGAGUGGUGCCUGUGGUGGAAAACGAUUUUCUAGUGGUUGGGGAUGAGCUCGCGGCCUAUCAGCUUGUUGGUGGGGUAAUGGCCUACCAAGGCGGCGACGGGUAGCCGGCCUGAGAGGGUGGACGGCCACAUUGGGACUGAGAUACGGCCCAGACUCCUACGGGAGGCAGCAGUGGGGAAUAUUGCACAAUGGGCGGAAGCCUGAUGCAGCGACGCCGCGUGGGGGAUGACGGCCUUCGGGUUGUAAACUCCUUUCGACCGCGAGGAAGCCACCUGGUUGGAAGGGUGGUGACGGUAGUGGUAGAAGAAGCACCGGCUAACUACGUG
Molecule: ribosomal RNA, 494 nt
Filed under: uncultured bacterium
Lineage: Bacteria
Description: partial 16S ribosomal RNA
Rfam family: Bacterial small subunit ribosomal RNA
Source: RNAcentral